CCUACUUAUUUUUCUUCUUUCCUCUUUACUUCUUCUUUCUUCUUUGUUCCUCUUCUGUCCGACGACAACAGAGAGAUCGAGAGAGUGAGAUUGAGAGAGAGAUCAGAGAGACCGAGAAAUCAAGGGAGGGAGAGAUUAAGAGAUCGGGAGAGACAGAGAUCGAGAGAGACCGAGAGAGAGAGAUGGAAGUAGAGAGGAAUCGGGAGAGAAGAACUGGAGAAGAUCCCACCGUCCGGAGGCGCCGAUUUCCGGUGGGUUCUAUGGAUCGUCGCUGGUGAGCCCAGAAAACCCAAGAGAAGCCUGAUCCUCCGGUGAAUCUUCGGUGGUCGGUCCUCAAUGAGCGAUUUUCCGGCGACUUUUCCGGCGAAAUCAAGGGUAAUUUCCGGUAGAUUUCUCUGUGUUUGAGCAGAGAUCCUCAAGAUGAUGAAUUGAGACUGCACAAAAGGGUUGCAAGUAUAAAAUACUUACUGAAGGUUCUGAAGAUUACAGAUUAAAUUGACUGCUAGCUUAAGAGAUCUAAAGCUAAUGUAGUUAGGUUCCAUUGCUUUCUGACUAAUAAUAUUUGUACUCUUUUGUAAAUAACAUGUUUUGAAAUUUACUUGUAUUUUGUAAACUUUUCAUGUACGCUUUUGUGUCAUUUGUAACAUAUGUUUCAUUAUAAUUAGUGCAAAGGAAAUUAAAGGACUUUUAAUGAAUGUCUAGAGGAAUUUGAGUCAGCUCAAUGUAUUAUAUUAUAAUUCCUAUGUCUUUAUAUAAAAAUUAUAUUCCGCUGGUAUUUUCUAACUCUGAUGACGUUGUAACGUUUCAUGUAAAAUCGAAAUUUUUACUUAUGCCUUUUUAUAAAAGGCAGGUCGUUACAACUUAGCCACCCCCAAAGGUGUGGCUGCCCACAGGCAACCACCCCUU
This is a long non-coding RNA of Alnus glutinosa, 906 nucleotides long. RefSeq lists it as uncharacterized. The transcript has 3 exons. The record is from RefSeq and is a predicted model, not a curated record. NCBI's taxonomy places the organism in Eukaryota, Viridiplantae, Streptophyta, Magnoliopsida, Fagales, Betulaceae.